Myotis davidii is the source of this 518-nucleotide long non-coding RNA. RefSeq lists it as uncharacterized. The record is from RefSeq and is a predicted model, not a curated record. Lineage: Eukaryota; Metazoa; Chordata; Mammalia; Chiroptera; Vespertilionidae. The transcript is spliced from 2 exons.
GCGCUCCCGGGUGGUUCUCCCCUGCGGCCGGACUCGCUCCUCCUGUCAACCCAGCGGAUGCAGUCAUUCCUGGGUACUUCUCCUUAGUUCUCCAAAUCACUCUGAGAUAUUCUCAGCAUCACAUUUACCUCGCUCUUGCAAGCGUGCAUGAUGCAGUCCGGAUGACACCCUUAUGAGCCUUCCUUACACUUGAUCUGGAGCCAUUGGGAGGAUUUUCAACAUGCCUGUUUUAUCGAUGGAGUGAUGAAGGAUACUCAAGCUUAAAGCCUCGGCUGGUUGUUCCACAGAAGUUCCCUAGGCAAGGAAAAAUAUUAAUACCACCUGAAAUCAGCCAGCACUUGUUCCAGGCCCAAUUUAAAAUUGAGUCGUAUCAACUCCAAGCGAUUGGGCCAGGGCCAUUGGUAUCCACACUCUAAGCACGAUAGCGACGUUCAGAACAGACCAAGUCCUCAAGUCUCCACUUCUUGGUACGGAAGUUUGGUGUUUUUUUUAAAUUAAUAAAUCUUUAUUGUUCGGAU